GUGGGGAAUAUUGGGCAAUGGGCGAAAGCCUGACCCAGCAACGCCGCGUGAGGGAAGAAGGCCUUCGGGUUGUAAACCUCUGUCCUUGGUGACGAAAAAAAUGACGGUAGCCAAGGAGGAAGCCCCGGCUAACUACGUGCCAGCAGCCGCGGUAAUACGUAGGGGGCGAGCGUUGUCCGGAAUGACUGGGCGUAAAGGGCGCGUAGACGGCUGUCUAAGUCUGGAGUGAAAGUCCUGCUUUCAAGGUGGGAAUUGCUUUGGAGACUGGAUGGCUUGAGUGCGGAAGAGGUAAGUGGAAUUCCCAGUGUAGCGGUGAAAUGCGUAGAGAUUGGGAGGAACACCAGUGGCGAAGGCGACUUACUGGGCCGUAACUGACGUUGAUGCGCGAAAGCGUGGGGAGCGAACAGGAUUAGAAACCCUAGUAGUCC
Molecule: ribosomal RNA, 428 nt
Filed under: uncultured bacterium
Lineage: Bacteria
Description: partial 16S ribosomal RNA
Rfam family: Bacterial small subunit ribosomal RNA
Source: RNAcentral